Molecule: small RNA, 29 nt
Filed under: Bombyx mori (domestic silkworm)
Lineage: Eukaryota; Metazoa; Arthropoda; Insecta; Lepidoptera; Bombycidae
Description: ovarian small RNA-18625
Source: RNAcentral
UAACAGUGACUUCCAAAGGGUUCCAGGGU